GACGAACGCUGGCGGCGCGCCUAACACAUGCAAGUCGAACGAGAGAGAGGGAGCUUGCUUCCUCAAUCGAGUGGCGAACGGGUGAGUAACGCGUGAGGAACCUGCCUCAAAGAGGGGGACAACAGUUGGAAACGACUGCUAAUACCGCAUAAGCCCACAGCUCGGCAUCGAGCAGAGGGAAAAGGAGCAAUCCGCUUUGAGAUGGCCUCGCGUCCGAUUAGCUAGUUGGUGAGGUAACGGCCCACCAAGGCAACGAUCGGUAGCCGGACUGAGAGGUUGAACGGCCACAUUGGGACUGAGACACGGCCCAGACUCCUACGGGAGGCAGCAGUGGGGAAUAUUGCACAAUGGGGGAAACCCUGAUGCAGCGACGCCGCGUGGAGGAAGAAGGUCUUCGGAUUGUAAACUCCUAGUUGUUGAGGAAGAUAAUGACGGUACUCAACAAGGAAGUGACGGCUAAACUACGUG
RNAcentral lists this ribosomal RNA (468 nucleotides) under uncultured bacterium. RNAcentral's name for it is "bacterial SSU rRNA". It matches the Rfam family "Bacterial small subunit ribosomal RNA", at positions 28 to 507 of the family's 1533-position model. The record is from RNAcentral.